Molecule: transfer RNA, 78 nt
Filed under: Loxodonta africana (African savanna elephant)
Lineage: Eukaryota; Metazoa; Chordata; Mammalia; Proboscidea; Elephantidae
Rfam family: tRNA
About the family: Transfer RNA (tRNA) molecules are approximately 80 nucleotides in length. Their secondary structure includes four short double-helical elements and three loops (D, anti-codon, and T loops).
Source: Rfam by way of RNAcentral
GCAAUGGUGGUUCAGUGGUAGAAUUCUUGCCUUCCAUGUAGGAGAGCCGGGUGCUGCUCCAUGGUCCCAGCCAGUGUA